GGGCCCGCACAAGCAGUGGAGUAUGUGGUUUAAUUCGAAGCAACGCGAAGAACCUUACCAGGUCUUGACAUCGUGUGCAUAGCGCAGAGAUGCGCGAAGUCCUUCGGGACACACAGACAGGUGGUGCAUGGUUGUCGUCAGCUCGUGUCGUGAGAUGUUGGGUUAAGUCCCGCAACGAGCGCAACCCUUACAAUUAGUUGCUACGCAAGAGCACUCUAAUUGGACUGCCGUUGACAAAACGGAGGAAGGUGGGGAUGACGUCAAAUCAUCAUGCCCCUUAUGACCUGGGCUACACACGUACUACAAUGGCGACCAACAACGGGAAGCGAAGCCGCGAGGCGGAGCAAAUCCCCAAAAGUCGUCUCAGUUCAGAUUGCAGGCUGCAACCCGCCUGCAUGAAGUCGGAAUUGCUAGUAAUCGCGGAUCAGCAUGCCGCGGUGAAUACGUUCCCGGGCCUU
RNAcentral lists this ribosomal RNA (458 nucleotides) under uncultured bacterium. Its description in RNAcentral is "bacterial SSU rRNA". It matches the Rfam family "Bacterial small subunit ribosomal RNA", at positions 917 to 1382 of the family's 1533-position model. The record is from RNAcentral.